CCUUAGGGUUGUAAAACUCUUUCAGUGGGGAAGAUAAUGACGGUACCCACAGAAGAAGUCCCGGCAAACUCCGUGCCAGCAGCCGCGGUAAUACGGAGGGGGCAAGCGUUGUUCGGAAUUAUUGGGCGUAAAGGGCAUGUAGGCGGUUCGGUAAGUUAAAGGUGAAAUGCCAGGGCUUAACCCUGGAGCUGCUUUUAAUACUGCCGGACUCGAGUCCGGGAGAGGAUAGCGGAAUUCCUAGUGUAGAGGUGAAAUUCGUAGAUA
RNAcentral lists this ribosomal RNA (264 nucleotides) under uncultured Anaplasma sp. RNAcentral's name for it is "partial 16S ribosomal RNA". It matches the Rfam family "Bacterial small subunit ribosomal RNA", at positions 415 to 696 of the family's 1533-position model. Lineage: Bacteria; Pseudomonadati; Pseudomonadota; Alphaproteobacteria; Rickettsiales; Anaplasmataceae. The record is from RNAcentral.